AGUGAACGCUGGCGGUAGGCCUAACACAUGCAAGUCGAACGGCAGCACAGUACUAGCUUGCUCUUACGGGUGGCGAGUGGCGGACGGGUGAGGAAUACAUCGGAAUCUACUUUUUCGUGGGGGAUAACGUAGGGAAACUUACUCUAAUACCGCAUACGACCUACGGGUGAAAGCAGGGGAUCUUCUGACCUUGCGCGAUUGAAUGAGCCGAUGUCGGAUUAGCUAGUUGGCGGGGUAAAGGCCCACCAAGGCGACGAUCCGUAGCUGGUCUGAGAGGAUGAUCAGCCACACUGGAACUGAGACACGGUCCAGACUCCUGCGGGAGGCAGCAGUGGGGAAUAUUGGACAAUGGGCGCAAGCCUGAUCCAGCCAUACCGCGUGGGUGAAGAAGGCCUUCGGGUUGUAAAGCCCUUUUGUUGGGAAAGAAAAGCAGCAGGUUAAUACCACGCUGUUCUGACGGUACCCAAAGAAUAAGCACCGGCUAACUUCGUG
Molecule: ribosomal RNA, 492 nt
Filed under: uncultured bacterium
Lineage: Bacteria
Description: partial 16S ribosomal RNA
Rfam family: Bacterial small subunit ribosomal RNA
Source: RNAcentral